Daphnia pulicaria is the source of this 361-nucleotide long non-coding RNA. RefSeq lists it as uncharacterized. NCBI's taxonomy places the organism in Eukaryota, Metazoa, Arthropoda, Branchiopoda, Diplostraca, Daphniidae. The record is from RefSeq and is a predicted model, not a curated record. The transcript is spliced from 3 exons.
ACUGGAUUACCACAUGCCCUGAUAAUGUAAGGCAGAAUGGAUGCAGCUGAAUUGAUUAACGUAUAUCCUAGAGAAACGGGAGCUCGUCCUCGCACUCAAAGACAAGCCAGUAGAUAAAAUAGUAAAUUAAAAAAUUUUAAGCAUAGAUUUAAUAAACAAAAAUAUUUGUUUAUCGCAGGAAGAGAAUUUUUGAAUUCCGGAUAAGUGUGAGCAAUGACUUUAUAGAAAUUCACAGAUUGAGGAAUUCCCUCAUUCAUGGCAUUUUCAUUUUGGAUAAACCCAAACUCAAUUUAAUUAUUUUUUUAACCUUUCCAUAAAAUUGUUCGGAAUCCCAUAAAAUACUGGUCAAUUCUGUACAUAU